CGUCUCCAUGUGUGCGCAGGAAUGCACAUGUAGAUGAAGUUAUAACCUGCCACGCACACCUACCGCUGCGGCUGUUUCCUGAGAGACUGCGAGAGAGAAGAAAGGCAGGAGACAUCACAUGACCGAACCUUGGGAGGUUCAAUGCCUUGACCAGAGAAGGAAGCACAGUGGAUCAUAAAACUGGAACAUUACGUAGUCCACUGCUGGCAUGCAACACAGAUUUACGCACAAUAUAAAGGCUCUACGACUUUGAAAUCAGGAAUUGAACAUGCUGAUGGACACCUGUGUUUUCUCAUUUGCUCUUAAAAUUUUUUUUUGCACUUAAAUAAAUGAGUUGACCUGAUUGAAAAAAAGUACAAACUUACUGAAGAGCUCUGAAAGUUCUCAGUUACCUCUUGCACAGAUUAUUUCUCAGUCUCUCUAAAACACAGCUCUAGAAGCAUAACAGGUAUACCUUUCAGAAGAAUUUUCCUUCAGAAAAUCAGGAUCCUGUACCACUUCAGAGAGUGAGAAAGAACUUCAGGUUGGAAGAAGGACCACUUCCUCACUCCCACUGAAGAAGACCCUACAGUUAUUCUUUUCCUCUGCUUCUGCUCAUCAGCCUUGCUCUGCCAGCAGCAGAAUCACACAGUGCCAGCUGCAGUUACUAGAGGACAGUAACUUGAAAACAGCAUAAACAUUCAACCACCAGCAAACAUUAAAAGCCUUGUUGGUAUAUCUCAGCGUGGCUGUGGGCUGUAAAGCAACAGUCUUGUGUCAUUGGUAUAUCCAGCACAUACCACACAAUCCUUCUGACCGUCCUGUAAAAGAAGAGCAGACAAGAGUGACACAAUUUUACAGAGACCUCUGGACAACUGCCUCCCUGAGUAAUUGCCAGACGGACAAGGAGCUGGCAGGAACACUCUCCACAGAGAACCCUGCUUGCUUUCUCCAGAGCCAGUGCAUAUCUGAAUAAUAAUUUCUGGUUGCAGCAAUGACAUCCAGCCUGACGCAUUCUCUCCCUCCUUUUCAUUUCUGUUCAUUCCACCCUGGCCCACCAGUCAUAAUGUCUAUAUGCUUCCAUUCAUGAUGGCUAGCAGUGAUGGCAGUGCUGUUCCUCUUCCUAAAUCCAGCAGGUGGACCUGCCAAGGACCUCACAGCUUUUGGAGGAAAUAAAACUCAGCAGCAACACCCGUGCCUAGCUCAUCAUAUGAUCCCUUUAUGCCAAGCCUGCCAAUUUUCUGGCACCGUGGUAGAAGUGAAUCAAAAAACUAUUAGCUGUAACAGUGGCAGGGAAUCCACAGAUCCUAAAAAUAGUUCUGGGAUCCUUUAUGUCCAAACAGUCAGAUCUUUACCAUCAUCACCUCUUUAGAAAAGGCUUCAUGGCUUUUUACUAAGGCUUUUAAAUCUCUGUUAUUCCCUCCAGCAAUGUAGUUGGCACAACACUACUUUAUUGCUUGUGUGCCAGUCACAGUCCCUGAGAACAGUGUUUCCAAAGCCAUUUAAUCCUGGUGUCCAAAGCUAUCAUCUAAACUAAACAUCUUUAAAAACCAUAAGAUCUGGACAUCAGUAGCUGGCAUUUGCCUACCUAGUGACAAAGUGUUUUGAACACGGUGUUCCUUCAACAUCUUCUGUGCAUAAAUAAGUAGGAGUCCAGGAGUCAUAGAAAAGUCUCCCAUGUGAUUUCUGGAAAUAGAAAAUUGCACUGGAGAUUUCUGAGGAAAGUAAUAUUUCACUUUUAGUAUCUGAUUGGUAUAAAAAUCAAUCAUCUUAUUUUGUAAUUUAUGAAAAGCUGGCUCCAAAAGAAAUAUAAAGAAAUAAUAUAUAUUUUUGCAUAACAAAUUUCUGACCCUUCUUGAGUUCUACUUUACUGAUAUGACAAUUUUUAAAAAAUAUUCUAUCUAUUCCACAAUGUAGGCGAACCUGUUGAAUUAGAUUGCUGUUCCUGAGGUUUAUAAUUUAUAGAGCUCUAGCUGUUCUACAUCAUAGCUUCAUUUGCUACACCGAAUUAAUUAGUAAUUUUUAUGAUGUCUGGAUAUUAAUCCUAUGAAUAAAUCAUUAAUAGAAAAAUCGUUUAUUUUCUGCAUGUUUAUCAUCCUUUUGUUAGGUACUGAAAUCACAGAGAAUUGCUGUUGCAUUAGUUGGUGGUCUUUUGAUAUGAUUAGUUGGUGGUAUGUAUGAUAAAUUUGUAAAGUUAUUUUUCAUGUAAUAUAAAUACUGCAAAUACAUAUAAAUAUAUGUGUUA
Molecule: long non-coding RNA, 2224 nt
Organism: Haemorhous mexicanus (house finch)
Lineage: Eukaryota; Metazoa; Chordata; Aves; Passeriformes; Fringillidae
Exons: 4
Source: RefSeq, a predicted model, not a curated record